UGGGGAAUAUUGGACAAUGGGGGAAACCCUGAUCCAGCCAUGCCGCGUGAGUGAUGAAGGCCUUAGGGUUGUAAAGCUCUUUCGCUAGGGAAGAUAAUGACGGUACCUAGUAAAGAAGCCCCGGCUAACUUCGUGCCAGCAGCCGCGGUAAUACGAAGGGGGCUAGCGUUGUUCGGAAUUACUGGGCGUAAAGCGCGCGUAGGCGGGCUGUUAGGUUGGGGGUGAAAUCCCGGGGCUCAACCUCGGAAUUGCCUCCAAAACUGGCAGUCUAGAGUCCGAGAGAGGUGAGUGGAACUCCGAGUGUAGAGGUGAAAUUCGUAGAUAUUGGGAAGAACACCGAUGGCGAAGGCAGCCAUCUGGACCGGUAUUGACGCUGAGGCGCGAAAGCGUGGGGAGCAAACAGGAUUAGAUACCCGCGUAGUCC
RNAcentral lists this ribosomal RNA (424 nucleotides) under uncultured prokaryote. RNAcentral describes it as "bacterial SSU rRNA". It matches the Rfam family "Bacterial small subunit ribosomal RNA", at positions 355 to 796 of the family's 1533-position model. The record is from RNAcentral.